Molecule: microRNA, 21 nt
Filed under: Monodelphis domestica (gray short-tailed opossum)
Lineage: Eukaryota; Metazoa; Chordata; Mammalia; Didelphimorphia; Didelphidae
Description: Mdo-Mir-7358_3p* (star (passenger))
Source: RNAcentral
AGGUUUGCCACCUUCCGGACC